Aedes aegypti (yellow fever mosquito) is the source of this 245-nucleotide long non-coding RNA. RefSeq lists it as uncharacterized. The record is from RefSeq and is a predicted model, not a curated record. NCBI's taxonomy places the organism in Eukaryota, Metazoa, Arthropoda, Insecta, Diptera, Culicidae. The transcript is spliced from 2 exons.
AGGCACAACAAGAAAUCUCCUCCAAGAAACUCUUCUCUCGCCCUACUGUAAUAACCGGGGAGCAUAUAAUUCGGCCAAAUAUAAAUCAAACACUGAAUAGGAUGUUGCAGAAGGAAGUACAAAGGCCGUUGAAGAUCAAUUCUAUGGAUAUUCCACUACCGAUCCAAGCAACGAGGACGACAUUCUUAGAAUAGUGUUGCUUCUUCAUUAUUAUGGUUGUCAAAAAUAAAUACUUAGAGUUCUAA